CCUACGGGAGACAGCAGUGAGUAAUAUUGGUCAAUGGCCGGAAGGCUGAACCAGCCAAGCCGCGUGAAGGACGAAGGUGCCAAGCAUUGUAAACUUCUUUUGUCAAGGGACAAAAUCAGGCUCGAGAGCCUGACCGAGGGUACUUGAAGAAAAACCAUCGGCUAACUCCGUGCCAGCAGCCGCGGUAAUACGGAGGAUGCGAGCGUUAUCCGGAUUUAGUGGGUUUAAGGGGUGCGUAGGCGGGGUGUUAAGUCAGCGGUAAAAGCCCGGGGCUAAACCCCGUCGAGCCGUUGAAACUGGCUGUCUUGAGAUGUCGAGAGGUAUGCGGAAUGCGUGGUGUAGCGGUGAAAUGCAUAGAUAUCACGCAGAACGCCGAUUGCGAAGGCAGCAUACCGGCGCCCAACUGACGCUGAGGCACGAAAGCGUGGGGAUCGAACAGGAUUAGAUACCCCUGUAGUC
RNAcentral lists this ribosomal RNA (459 nucleotides) under uncultured bacterium. RNAcentral's name for it is "partial 16S ribosomal RNA". It matches the Rfam family "Bacterial small subunit ribosomal RNA", at positions 338 to 795 of the family's 1533-position model. The record is from RNAcentral.